UUGAUGAAAGCUUUUAGCGUUUUACUGUUAAUAAAAAGAAGAAUCGAAUCUCAUCAAU
RNAcentral lists this transfer RNA (58 nucleotides) under Hygrobates turcicus. RNAcentral describes it as "tRNA-Asn". The record is from RNAcentral. Lineage: Eukaryota; Metazoa; Arthropoda; Arachnida; Trombidiformes; Hygrobatidae.